UACGAAGGUCCCAAGCGUUGUUCGGAAUCACUGGGCGUAAAGGGAGCGUAGGCGGCGUGGUAAGUCAGAUGUGAAAUCCCGGAGCUCAACUCCGGAACUGCCUUUGAUACUGGCGAUCUAGAGAUCGAGAGAGGUGAGUGGAAUUCCGAGUGUAGAGGUGAAAUUCGUAGAUAUUCGGAAGAACACCAGUGGCGAAGGCGGCUCACUGGCUCGAUACUGACGCUGAGGUGCGAAAGCGUGGGGAGCAAACAGG
Molecule: ribosomal RNA, 253 nt
Filed under: uncultured bacterium
Lineage: Bacteria
Description: partial 16S ribosomal RNA
Rfam family: Bacterial small subunit ribosomal RNA
Source: RNAcentral